CCUCUCAUGUGAGACUCUAAUGACCUUCUGACAUGUGAUAUCGAUUUCUAAUCCUUAAGGUUCACUUGUAAUACCCAUGGAUACUUGUAUCCAUUAGUACACGCUAAAAUCUGCAAGCAGCGGGGUGUAACACCAAAAUUAUGGUUGGCAAGGUUGCAUACUUUUAUUUAAUCUCCAAUGUUUAGUUGAUAUUCUCAAGAAUGAUAUUCAGGGUAAGUUGUGCAAUUUACCCAAAUUUAUAA
Lupinus albus (white lupine) is the source of this 242-nucleotide non-coding RNA. Lineage: Eukaryota; Viridiplantae; Streptophyta; Magnoliopsida; Fabales; Fabaceae. The record is from the annotation of a GenBank genome assembly.